AGAAAAAGAAAAUUUGAUGGUUGUACCUUUUGUAUCAGGGGAGUUUAAAAUUUUAGUUAUAAUAAAAUCGAUUUGUUCGGAGCUUUGUUAUAGGUUGUUAGUAGAAGUUAGUAACAGAAGAUAUUAAGAGGUGAAAAGUUAACGACGAGUAAGGUAUCUAAUUGUUUUUACAACAAAGGGGUAAGCUUUUGGCCAUUUAUUAGAAUAAAGUAAUUAGGGAAAUAAGGCUUUGGAUUAGCCAUAUUUAUUUGUUGUUUUAGGCAACUCUGGUGAUAAAAUAAAAGUAGAAUUAAAAAGACUAUAAUAUGGUUAAUACUAGCUAUUAAGAAUAAUGAAUUUAUUGAAUAAUGAAAGAAACGUGAAAAUAACUCGUGUCAGGCUAGAAAGUUUAACAAAAACAUUUCUUUUUUAAUAAAAAGUAAGGCCUGCCCGGUGUAAAUUAACGGCUGCAGUAUUUUGACUGUGCUAAGGUAGCAUAAUAAUUUGUUUUUUAAUUGAUAACUGGAAUGAAGGGUUAAACUAGUUUGUUUAGUUUGGUAAAAUUAAGUGAGAAAUUUAAGUAAAGGUAAGAAUUCUUUUAUAGUCUAGGGGACGAUAAGACCCUAGAAGCUUUAUAUUGAGAAUAGAAAAUAGUGGUUAAGUAGCUAGCUUAUUUUACUGGGGCGGUAAUAGUACAUGAACUAUAGUAGUUUUGAAAGAUCCUAUAUAUAAAGAUAUAACAGGUAAGUUACUCUAGGGAUAACAGUGCAAUAUUUUUGGAGAGAUCUUAUCGAUAGAUAUGUUUGCAACCUCGAUGUUGAAUUAAAAUUUCUAUAUGAAGUAGAAGACAUAUAAGAGGGUUUGUUCAACC
Molecule: ribosomal RNA, 850 nt
Filed under: Sinogammarus chuanhui
Lineage: Eukaryota; Metazoa; Arthropoda; Malacostraca; Amphipoda; Gammaridae
Description: partial 16S ribosomal RNA
Source: RNAcentral